UCAAUCCCUAGGAGGAGGGUGAGCCACAAAGUUGUCAGACUGGUUGGCCCAGGAUGGAGAGAACAGGAAAUACAGGGUACAGAGGCCAAAGAACAAGGGCCAGACAGGGAGGGUCGUCCAGCCCUAAAGGGCUGCUGUCUGGCACCCCGACAACUUUGGCAACAGGAGCCAGUGGCAGGGUGGGCGGUGGGGGGCGCUGCAGGGAACCCAGGCCCCGGGCUUCGCUGUUUCGCGGGUGCUGAGGGGUGAUCCAGCAGCCGAGAGUAAGGAGCCGGGAGAUGCUAAAGAGGAGGACUCAGGUUUCUGGAAACAAGGAGAGCCACCACUCCUGAGGAACAAGAGUGGACAGUGAGGAGCUCAGGGCAGCGCGAGGACCAGGAGCAAGCCUCGGAACCCUGACAGACGGGCUCUCCUCGACCAGACUUAGCCAGGCUCUCUGGAGCCCUCCGCGAGGCCAGGCCUGACCCAGGGCUGCCAUCUCCGUCCUCGCACAGGCCAGCUGCCGCGAGACUCCUGCUGAGUCUGUUCAGCCCAGAAGCCCUCACCCUCCAUGCCUGAGCACCUCAGCUUCUAAGAACCCCGGGGUAACAGCGGAUCACCCUAGCCUGCCUUCCUGAGGCCUACAAGCUCAGCCCCAAGGUCUCAGAAAUGGAAGAGGAAGAGCAAGACCUACCUGUUACUGCUUCUAGAAAAGGUGGCUGCCCCUACCAGCCACACACAGGCCACCAGGACCCAGCAACAGAAAUCCAGGGUCAUCAUCCCAGUGCACAGCCCUCAGCACGGGGCUAGGAGCUGAACGUGUGCUUGGGGGGAAUCCACGGCCUGGGACUCACCACGAGUCCUUGGGCCCAUGAACAAAUAAAUGAAUGAGCAAAAGAAGACCCAAGGAACUCCCAUAACUUGCCCAGGGUCGGAAAGCAGGCUGCCUCCACAGACUACCUGGUAUCACCCUGACGCGCACUCUCGUUCACCCCACCGUGGCACCUCAAUUCACCUUCUGCCUCAACUGUGUUUCUUUAAUUUAUGAUCAACGUUUCCAGUGACACUCCAACCCAGGCCUCGAGAACAAGUCCCAGAGGAGGACACAAGGGCAGGCAGAUGGGAGGCAUUCCAGUGCUGUUCACCAAAUGUCCCCAGUCCUCUUCCUCGCCCCACACUGUACGUAUAACUAGGGCCACAUGGCUGCUUCGGCCAGCAAAAUGCCGCUUCUGGGCGGAAGCCUUAAGAACCAGGGGGAGACUGAUCACAUUCUCUGUCCCUCCAUCCAAGUGUCCAGGAAUAUUCCAAUUAAUCGGUAGGGGUUCACAGUGAGAACAACAGAAAGAUAUGCAAUGGAUCGGGUGUGAGCAGUAAAUAAACCUCCGAGAUUUGGGGACUGUCACCACAGCAGACCCUGAUCUAUCUAGACAGACAGAGGCCGUGACUCACUCCCCAAUCUUCUCUACACGGCAGUGCUGGGCUUCCCAUUCCCAGGCCCAUAGGAGACAAAAUCGAUGUCAACAAUUAUGCAACAGGGGUCAAGGGUGACUGCUAGGUGCCCAGACAGACGAGACGCUUUCAGAAGCAGGGGAUAAAAGGAUCCUGCGCUGCAGCACCUACCAGUUCCGCUGUGGACUGGCCAUGGGCAGCACACUGACCACCUUUCGAUUAGAAAUGACGAGAGCUGCUACCAUGGAGACCUUGAGCAAGUCACUCUGUGACCUCUCUAGAACAGUGUCCUCCUCCAUCAUAUGGGACAUAAAUGUUAUCUAUCAUACUGUGUCGGUUCAAAGGUUAAGUGAGUUAAUGCGAGUGAAGCUUCUAGGAUGGCACUUGGUGUACGCGUCCAUGAAGAGCAAGUCUCAAUAAACUCUUUGUU
Long non-coding RNA from Canis lupus familiaris (dog), 1858 nucleotides. RefSeq lists it as uncharacterized. Lineage: Eukaryota; Metazoa; Chordata; Mammalia; Carnivora; Canidae. The record is from RefSeq and is a predicted model, not a curated record. The transcript has 3 exons.